Citrus sinensis (sweet orange) is the source of this 107-nucleotide non-coding RNA. The record is from Rfam. NCBI's taxonomy places the organism in Eukaryota, Viridiplantae, Streptophyta, Magnoliopsida, Sapindales, Rutaceae.
AUACCAUGAUGAGGACAUCUUCUGAGUAACUCUUUAAAUCUUUUCCAUGCAUCAUAUAAACUUUCAUCUUCAAGUUGAUGGAAUGAUGUGAUUUCAUUCCUCAACUU